RNAcentral lists this ribosomal RNA (326 nucleotides) under uncultured eukaryote. RNAcentral's name for it is "partial 18S ribosomal RNA". It matches the Rfam family "Eukaryotic small subunit ribosomal RNA", at positions 1470 to 1796 of the family's 1831-position model. The record is from RNAcentral.
CCCUUAGAUGUUCUGGGCUGCACGCGCGCUACACUGAUGCGCUCAACGAGUUUACGACCUUGCCCGGAAGGGUUGGGUAAUCUUUUUAAAACGCAUCGUGAUGGGGAUAGAUUAUUGCAAUUAUUAAUCUUUAACGAGGAAUUCCUAGUAAGCGCGAGUCAUCAGCUCGUGCUGAUUACGUCCCUGCCCUUUGUACACACCGCCCGUCGCUCCUACCGAUUGAGUGAUCUGGUGAAUAAUUCGGACUGCAGCAGUGUUCAGUUCCUGAACGUUGCAGCGGAAAGUUUAGUGAACCUUAUCACUUAGAGGAAGGAGGAGUCGUAACA